RNAcentral lists this long non-coding RNA (340 nucleotides) under Phaseolus vulgaris (common bean). RNAcentral's name for it is "long non-coding RNA (PVUL_LNC001732)". Lineage: Eukaryota; Viridiplantae; Streptophyta; Magnoliopsida; Fabales; Fabaceae. The record is from RNAcentral.
UGGCACUGUUACCUUGGCUGAUGGAGGAGGAGGAGGAGAAAUCUUUGGUAGAGGUGGAGCUGCGCCCAGCGGAACAACUAAGGAGGAUCGGACUUGCGUUCCCAUUUUACCUAUUUUAUGCUUAAAAGGAUUCUAGAAGUUGAUUAGCAAGGUCUUCUGCAAAGCAAAAGCUUAAACCUUAGCGUGCAACUUUUUGUAAUCGAAAUUUUUUCCCUUGAUACUGCACAGUAAAAUUAACAAUCAACACAAUCAAUAUGAAGUAUUAGCAAGCAAACAAAAGAAAUCAUAACCUUACCCAUGAACAAGAUAGUGGCGACCUGAGUACAUAGAAGUACUCAAG